GAUCCUCAACAUCAAAAACUAAAAGCAAAAGACAGCAACAAAACCCCACGAGUCAAGUAGGUCAUUGGUGUCUGCCGCUCUUAAGCUCUUGUUCCAGCCUGUCCCAGCCUCCAGCAGGUACAACUCUCUAGAGAGAGCCACAGCUGGCCAGGACCAGACAGGACCACUCUGUGUGGUAGUCCUAAGUUAGAGGACAUUCGGGGAACUUGUUUCCACGGUUCUGUUCCCUUCUCUUUAUGAAAGAGCUUUUGCUUUGCCCGGCCUUUGUUUGGGGAGUUCAGCUAAUAAAGGGGCCAUUUUGCUGGAAUGAAUUACUGAUGAAAGUCCCGCUGGGAUCGGCAGGAGGACGGCCCUCUGGCCUCUCUUCAGCAAGGCCGCCGAGACUGUCAAGUCUGCUGUGGGAUUCGCAGAGGUACGGUACCAUCAAAUGCUCCAGGAAGCUCCACUCACUUGCUUUAAGUUAAAAGAGUAAAGAAGUCAAUAUUUUAGGCAAAUCUAAGAUGAUGAGUUUGGCCCCUUGUGUCUUCAACGACCCAAGGUUAAGCAAUACUGCACCAGUUAAGCAAAAAUAAAUCAUGACACCCCAAGAAAG
Molecule: long non-coding RNA, 592 nt
Filed under: Mus caroli (Ryukyu mouse)
Lineage: Eukaryota; Metazoa; Chordata; Mammalia; Rodentia; Muridae
Description: leucine rich repeat containing 8D, opposite strand (MGP_CAROLIEiJ_G0003721.1)
Source: RNAcentral